RNAcentral lists this transfer RNA (74 nucleotides) under Ipomoea nil (Japanese morning glory). It matches the Rfam family "tRNA". Rfam says of the family: Transfer RNA (tRNA) molecules are approximately 80 nucleotides in length. Their secondary structure includes four short double-helical elements and three loops (D, anti-codon, and T loops). The record is from Rfam by way of RNAcentral. Lineage: Eukaryota; Viridiplantae; Streptophyta; Magnoliopsida; Solanales; Convolvulaceae.
GGUCCCGUAUCUCAGUUGGUUAGAGUGUUGGUCUUAUGAGCCAAAGGUCGUGGGUUCGAGCCCCGCCGGGACCA